Molecule: ribosomal RNA, 19 nt
Filed under: Pseudoxiphophorus bimaculatus (twospot livebearer)
Lineage: Eukaryota; Metazoa; Chordata; Actinopteri; Cyprinodontiformes; Poeciliidae
Also listed under: 1 other name
Description: partial 16S ribosomal RNA
Source: RNAcentral
AACCCAAAAGCUAGCCUCU